RNAcentral lists this ribosomal RNA (515 nucleotides) under uncultured bacterium. Its description in RNAcentral is "partial 16S ribosomal RNA". It matches the Rfam family "Bacterial small subunit ribosomal RNA", at positions 28 to 523 of the family's 1533-position model. The record is from RNAcentral.
GAUGAACGCUGGCGGCGUGCCUAAUACAUGCAAGUCGAGCGAAUGGAUUAAGAGCUUGCUCUUAUGAAGUUAGCGGCGGACGGGUGAGUAACACGUGGGUAACCUGCCCAUAAGACUGGGAUAACUCCGGGAAACCGGGGCUAAUACCGGAUAACAUUUUGAACCACAUGGUUCGAAAUUGAAAGGCGGCUUCGGCUGUCACUUAUGGAUGGACCCGCGUCGCAUUAGCUAGUUGGUGAGGUAACGGCUCACCAAGGCAACGAUGCGUAGCCGACCUGAGAGGGGGAUCGGCCACACUGGGACUGCGACACGGCCCAGACUCCUACGGGAGGCAGCAAUAGGGAAUCUUCCGCAAUGGACGAAAGUCUGACGGAGCAACGCCGCGUGAGUGAUGAAGGCUUUCGGGUCGUAAAACUCUGUUGUUAGGGAAGAACAAGUGCUAGUUGAAUAAGCUGGCACCUUGACGGUACCUAACCAGAAAGCCACGGCUAACUACGUGCCAGCAGCCGCCGCAG